This 253-nucleotide ribosomal RNA is filed under the name uncultured bacterium. Its description in RNAcentral is "partial 16S ribosomal RNA". It matches the Rfam family "Bacterial small subunit ribosomal RNA", at positions 524 to 776 of the family's 1533-position model. The record is from RNAcentral.
GACGUAGGGCGCGAGCGUUGUCCGGAUUUAUUGGGCGUAAAGAGCUCGUAGGCGGCUUGUCACGUCGGGUGUGAAAGCCCGGGGCUUAACCCCGGGUCUGCAUUCGAUACGGGCUAGCUAGAGUGUGGUAGGGGAGAUCGGAAUUCCUGGUGUAGCGGUGAAAUGCGCAGAUAUCAGGAAGAACACCCGUGGCGAAAGCGGCUCUCUGGAACGGUACUGACGCUGAGACGCGAAAGCGUGGGGAGCGAACAGG